RNAcentral lists this ribosomal RNA (498 nucleotides) under uncultured bacterium. RNAcentral describes it as "bacterial SSU rRNA". It matches the Rfam family "Bacterial small subunit ribosomal RNA", at positions 31 to 518 of the family's 1533-position model. The record is from RNAcentral.
GAACGCUAGCUACAGGCUUAACACAUGCAAGUCGAGGGGCAGCAUGUUGGUUGCUUGCAACCAAUGAUGGCGACCGGCGCACGGGUGAGUAACGCGUAUCCAACCUUCCCCUUAGUAGGGCAUAGCCCGUAGAAAUGCGGAUUAAUACCCUAUGUUGUAUAUUGAGGACAUCUGAUUUAUACCAAAGGUUCACCGCUAAGGGAUGGGGAUGCGUCUGAUUAGGUUGUUGGUGGGGUAACGGCCCACCAAGCCGACGAUCAGUAGGGGUUCUGAGAGGAAGGUCCCCCACAUUGGAACUGAGACACGGUCCAAACUCCUACGGGAGGCAGCAGUGAGGAAUAUUGGUCAAUGGACGAGAGUCUGAACCAGCCAAGUAGCGUGCAGGAUGACGGCCCUAUGGGUUGUAAACUGCUUUUAUACGGGGAUAAAGUGACCCACGUGUGGGUUUUUGUAGGUACCGUAUGAAUAAGGACCGGCUAAUUCCGUGCCAGCAGCUGC